AAGUAUCAACAGUAGGUUGUUCAUGCUGAUAAAGUGUUUAUUGUUUAAAGAUAACAUUGGGUUACAUCAUUCAACUAACAGCUUAUUUCAUUCAUUUGCGAAGUCUGUUCGCAAACACACCCCAUAUAAAAAUUGUUUUAAAGUACAAAAUGUCAAUCAACAGUUCAUUAAUUUUAUUUUUACUACAAUUUGUACUGGACACACAUGGACAACCUCACAAUAAACAGUUUCGUGAUGAUUACACCUUUAUCGAAGAGACACAAAGUUAUUAUAAAUAUUUCUCUAACUCUAAAACAUGGCAUGACGCGUUGACGACGUGCGCUAGAGAGGGCGCUACCCUAUUCUACGCCGAGGACAAAGAUGAGUUCGAAGCAGUAGCGAAAUUUUGGACGCAAUUUGGAGAUGUUAUUUUCGUAGGCAUAUCGUCUUUUUUUUCAAAAGGGGUGUUCACAUCAUAUGAUAACAAACCAUUAACGGAUAUUUACAAUAACUGGUUUCCUGGAAAACCAGAUGAUAAAAAUGGGGAAGGGAACUGUGUUAUCAUGAGUAAACGUGGACAAAUGGAGGACUUGAGUUGCACACAGAGAUGGCCGUUCAUUUGCAAGAAGACAUCAACAAACGUUGUUUGGCACCACGACUGUGAAACACCCUACGAUGGUUACGUAUUAAACGAAGACCUUGGAAGAUGUUACAAGUUCUUUUUGACUCCGAUGAAUUGGACAGAAGCGUUGGCAGUGUGUAACGCAGAAGAGUCUUACUUGGCGAUCAUUAACAGUAAGCAAGAGGCAGACUAUCUUAAAAAAUUAACAGAAGAUGCGCCAAAAGACAAAGUAAGAGGUGACUAUACAGCCGGAGUUGUAAUGCUGGGCUUCGGUAAUCGAUUUAAGCAGGGCUGGCUUUCUGUCAAAGGUGCCACGUUAGAAGCCAGUGGUUAUUCGCAUUGGGGUUACGCUCAGCCCGACGUGGACAACAAGGACCUCUGCGGCGCCAUGUUCUACAACGGGGAACUCACCUACAGCGACUGCUCGCCGCGCAGCUUCUUUAUAUGCGAAAAGGAAUAUACUUACACACGGCAUUGAUCUAAUGUUCGAAGACGAAUUUUGGUCUGACGGAUAAGAGCAAUACACAGCUAGUCCUCAUCCUCGAUUUAUUUUAAGGUCGUAUUCCUGUCGUCUCCUGUGGUCAGGUUGAAAACGGGAAUUUCUGGUGGUCUACAAUUGAAAAUAUUACAUUUAGCAUAGUUUGUUACUUUGACUUUCGAUUUACGUUUAAAUGUUUGUCAGUGUUACUGUUUCUGUGUCAAUAAUGUAUCUUUAUUUUCUUUA
Molecule: unclassified non-coding RNA, 1325 nt
Filed under: Manduca sexta (tobacco hornworm)
Lineage: Eukaryota; Metazoa; Arthropoda; Insecta; Lepidoptera; Sphingidae
Description: macrophage mannose receptor 1, transcript variant X4
Source: RNAcentral